RNAcentral lists this ribosomal RNA (468 nucleotides) under uncultured bacterium. Its description in RNAcentral is "partial 16S ribosomal RNA". It matches the Rfam family "Bacterial small subunit ribosomal RNA", at positions 28 to 507 of the family's 1533-position model. The record is from RNAcentral.
GACGAACGCUGGCGGCGUGCUUAACACAUGCAAGUCGAACGGAAAGGCCCUGCUUUUUUGGGGUGCUCGAGUGGCGAACGGGUGAGUAACACGUGAGUAACCUGCCCUUGACUUUGGGAUAACUUCAGGAAACUUGGGCUAAUACCGGAUAGGAGCUCCUGCUGCAUGGUGGGGGUUGGAAAGUUUCGGCGGUUGGGGAUGGACUCGCGGCUUAUCAGCUUGUUGGUUGGGUAGUGGCUUACCAAGGCUUUGACGGGUAGCCGGCCUGAGAGGGUGACCGGCCACAUUGGGACUGAGAUACGGCACAGACUACUACGGGAGGCAGCAGUGGGGAAUAUUGCACAAUGGGAGGAAGCCUGAUGCAGAAACGCCGCGUGCGGGAUGACGGCCUUCGGGUUGUAAACCGCUUUCGCCUGUGACGAAGCGUGAGUGACGGUAAUGGGUAAAGAAGCACCGGCUAACUACGUG